RNAcentral lists this non-coding RNA (21 nucleotides) under Caenorhabditis elegans. The record is from RNAcentral. Lineage: Eukaryota; Metazoa; Nematoda; Chromadorea; Rhabditida; Rhabditidae.
UCGGUUACAAAAGUCCAUUUA